AUCUAGCUGACGAGUUCUAAAUAGGACGAAGUGCGUGUCCUGGAU
RNAcentral lists this non-coding RNA (45 nucleotides) under Schistosoma haematobium. Lineage: Eukaryota; Metazoa; Platyhelminthes; Trematoda; Strigeidida; Schistosomatidae. The record is from RNAcentral.